This 371-nucleotide ribosomal RNA is filed under the name uncultured organism. RNAcentral's name for it is "bacterial SSU rRNA". It matches the Rfam family "Bacterial small subunit ribosomal RNA", at positions 526 to 896 of the family's 1533-position model. The record is from RNAcentral.
CGUAGGUGACAAGCGUUGUCCGGAUUUACUGGGCGUAAAGAGCGCGCAGGCGGUCGUUCAAGUCGAGUGUGAAAGCCCCCGGCUCAACUGGGGAGGGUCAUUCGAUACUGAUCGACUCGAAGGCAGGAGAGGGAAGUGGAAUUCCCGGUGUAGUGGUGAAAUGCGUAGAUAUCGGGAGGAACACCAGUGGCGAAGGCGACUUCCUGGCCUGUUCUUGACGCUGAGGCGCGAAAGCUAGGGGAGCAAACGGGAUUAGAUACCCCGGUAGUCCUAGCCGUAAACGAUGGACACUAGGUGUUGGCGGUAUCAACCCGCCAGUGCCGAAGCUAACGCAUUAAGUGUCCCGCCUGGGGAGUACGGCCGCAAGGCUA